RNAcentral lists this ribosomal RNA (919 nucleotides) under Thalassiosira rotula. RNAcentral describes it as "partial Bacterial large subunit ribosomal RNA". It matches the Rfam family "Bacterial large subunit ribosomal RNA", at positions 2001 to 2925 of the family's 2925-position model. The record is from RNAcentral. Lineage: Eukaryota; Bacillariophyta; Thalassiosirophyceae; Thalassiosirales; Thalassiosiraceae.
GUAACGACUUCCCUACUGUCUCAACCAUGAACUCGGCGAAAUUGCAUUACGAGUAAAGAUGCUCGUUACGCGCAGCAGGACGGAAAGACCCCGGGACCUUUACUAUAGUUUGGUAUUGGUGAUUGGGACGGUUUGUGUAGGAUAGGUGGGAGACGUUGAUGCGGCCACGCUAGUGGUGGUGGAGUCGUUGGUGAAAUACCACUCUGAUUGUUCUGGUUAUCUCACUGUGGACCGUGAUCCGGUUCAAGGACAGUGCCUGAUGGGUAGUUUGACUGGGGCGGUCGCCUCCUAAAGGGUAACGGAGGCGCCCAAAGGUUCCCUCAGCCUGGUUGGCAAUCAGGUGUUGAGUGUAAGUGCACAAGGGAGCUUGACUGUGAGAGUGACAGCUCAAGCAGGUACGAAAGUAGGGACUAGUGAUCCGGCACCUACGUGUGGAAGUGGUGUCGCUCAACGGAUAAAAGGUACCUCGGGGAUAACAGGCUGAUCUUGCCCGAGCGCUCAUAGCGACGGCAUGGUUUGGCACCUCGAUGUCGGCUCGUCGCAUCCUGGGGCUGGAGUCGGUCCCAAGGGUUGGGCUGUUCGCCCAUUAAAGCGGUACGCGAGCUGGGUUCAGAACGUCGUGAGACAGUUCGGUCCAUAUCCGGUGUAGGCGUUAGAAUAUUGAGAGGAGCCUUCUUUAGUACGAGAGGACCGAGAAGGACAUACCUCUGGUGUACCAGUUAUCGUGCCAACGGUAAACGCUGGGUAGCUAUGUAUGGAGUGGAUAACCGCUGAAAGCAUCUAAGUGGGAAGCCCACCUCAAGAUAAGUAUUCUCAUCACGUAAGUGAGUAAGGUCACGGUAAGACUAACCGUUUGAUAGGCAUUAAGUGUAAGUACAGUAAUGUAUGUGCUGAGAUGUCCUAAUAGACCGAGGACUUG